Molecule: non-coding RNA, 614 nt
Organism: Monodelphis domestica (gray short-tailed opossum)
Lineage: Eukaryota; Metazoa; Chordata; Mammalia; Didelphimorphia; Didelphidae
Source: RefSeq, a predicted model, not a curated record
GCAUAUGCCAUCCCACAUAAAGGAGGAACCAUCAGUGAAUCUGAGUUAUCUAAAGGGAUAUCAAGGAGAUUAUCUUGAGGCUUUUUAGCCAUGGACACUAAAGAUUAUCAAUUGUGCAAUAAUUCCCCUGAAACUUAUAAAUCUGGAAGCAAGGUAGCAGGAUUAAGGACUGUAUAGUGUUUCAAGAAGAAGAUAUCACAAAAGAGCCACUGUAGAGUACCAAGAAGCACAAUGUCAAAGAGAUCACCAGUCUAUAUAGGAUUGAUGAGAAUUUGCUCCAAGACAGAAGAUUUGUUUUGAGGUUUGAGGAAGCGGCUGUUUAACAUCAGAUGCUGGACUCCCCCAUGCCAGAUUGCUACAAGUACCUUAGUUUGGCUGCCAUUUUGGCUCCCGAUCACUGAGAUUGAAAGAAAAAUCAAAUCAGGGAAUUAUAUAUUUCCCUUUUACUUCAAAAACUAGUCCCUUUUUUUUCCCUCUUCUAUAAUAUGUCAAUUUUCUAUAAUUAUGCGCUGCCAAUGGGUAAAAGCUCUAUUACUACAAUUGCCCUACAAGCUUGUGGGACAGAAAUCAUUUUAAUGGUGCCCUGAUUAAAGAACCUGUUAUGGGCUAAUUUA